RNAcentral lists this ribosomal RNA (421 nucleotides) under uncultured bacterium. RNAcentral's name for it is "bacterial SSU rRNA". It matches the Rfam family "Bacterial small subunit ribosomal RNA", at positions 29 to 441 of the family's 1533-position model. The record is from RNAcentral.
AAUGAACGCUGGCGGCGCGCCUAAUACAUGCAAGUCGAGCGAGAAGACGUAGCAAUACGUUUGUAAAGCGGCGAACGGGUGAGGAAUACAUGGGUAACCUACCCUCGAGUGGGGAAUAACUAGCCGAAAGGUUAGCUAAUACCGCGUACGCUUCUUGGACUUCGGUUCAGGGAGGAAAGCGAUGCCGAGGGUAUCGCGCUCUUGGAUGGGCUCAUGUCCUAUCAGCUUGNGGUGAGGUAACGGCUCACCAAGGCUUCGACGGGUAGCUGGUCUGAGAGGACGAUCAGCCACACUGGCACUGCGACACGGGCCAGACUCCUACGGGAGGCAGCAGUAAGGAAUAUUGCGCAAUGGGCGAAAGCCUGACGCAGCGACGCCGCGUGGGGGAUGAAGGUCUUCGGAUUGUAAACCCCUUUCGGGA